UACGAAGGGGCUAGCGUUGUUCGGAAUUACUGGGCGUAAAGCGCGCGUAGGCGGACUUUUAAGUCAGGGGUGAAAUCCGGAGGCUCAACCUCGGAACAGCCUUUGAUACUGGAGGUCUCGAGUCCGAGAGAGGUGAGUGGAAUUCCGAGUGUAGAGGUGAAAUUCAUAGAUAUUCGGAGGAACACCAGUGGCGAAGGCGGCUCACUGGCUCGGUACUGACGCUGAGGUGCGAAAGCGUGGGGAGCAAACAGGAUUAGAUACCCCCGUAGUCCCUGAG
Molecule: ribosomal RNA, 277 nt
Filed under: uncultured prokaryote
Description: partial 16S ribosomal RNA
Rfam family: Bacterial small subunit ribosomal RNA
Source: RNAcentral